AUGAAUUUUAAAAUUAUUUUUCCCAGCUCUUCGAAAUGAUUUUGUGGUAGUUUGAUUGGUAUGUCACUGAAUAGGUUAAUUAAUUUAGACAGAAAUGUCCUUUUAUUUUAUUGUCUCAAACUACCCCUGAGCAGUUAAUAUUUAUCCAAUUAUUUUGGUCCAACUUUAUUUGUGUGAAAAAAAAAUGUUUUGUAAUUGUGUUCAUCUAAUUUGUGGAUUUGUCUUUCUCUUUUGCUGGUGGACUGUGUUGGUGGUAAAUAGAAAUGCUGAUGAUUUAGGAUAAGUUCAAACUUGAGAAGAAGAGGAAAACAAAUGAAGGAUGCUAAGUGAAAUCUCUUAUGCAUUUAUCAACAAAACAAGGCCCAAAUGGAAUAAAGUGACUUGACCAAAAUCAUAUAUGGAUGCAGAAAUGGAAUCCUGAUUCAAAAUUAAAUCAUGAGACUGCAUAUCCAACACUAUUCCUGCCCAUGAGUUCUUUAAUUCAACUAAGAAUUUAUUCAACUAAAUACAGAUCCACUAUCAGAAAUCUAUCAAACCCACAAAAAGCAUUUAUUAAACUCCCCUUUUAUGUGCCAACCACUGUACUAAGCUCUGAGGACACAAAGACAAAAUUAAACUUUCCCUGCCCUGUAGAAGCUUAUAUUCUCCUGGGGCAAAAGAGGUAAGGAUCAACUCACAUCUUGUAUGUAUUAAGUACAUAAAAAGUAUUAAAAUACAACUUAUUAAUUU
Monodelphis domestica (gray short-tailed opossum) is the source of this 729-nucleotide long non-coding RNA. RefSeq lists it as uncharacterized. The record is from RefSeq and is a predicted model, not a curated record. Lineage: Eukaryota; Metazoa; Chordata; Mammalia; Didelphimorphia; Didelphidae.